Molecule: transfer RNA, 96 nt
Filed under: Leptolyngbya sp. FACHB-671
Lineage: Bacteria; Bacillati; Cyanobacteriota; Cyanophyceae; Leptolyngbyales; Leptolyngbyaceae
Description: tRNA-Ala
Rfam family: tRNA
About the family: Transfer RNA (tRNA) molecules are approximately 80 nucleotides in length.
Source: RNAcentral
CUGGUUCUGGCGUAAUUGGUAGCCGCACCUUACUCGCAAUAAGGGGGAAAUGGAGCUGUCACUCCUGCCGUAAGGGUUCAAGUCCCUUGAUCCAGA